This 5503-nucleotide long non-coding RNA is filed under the name Sus scrofa (pig). RNAcentral describes it as "lncRNA (ENSSSCG00065069705.1)". The record is from RNAcentral. Lineage: Eukaryota; Metazoa; Chordata; Mammalia; Artiodactyla; Suidae.
UUUUUUUUUUUUUUUUUUUUUUUUUUUUGGUCUUUUUGACUUUUUUUAGGGCUGCACCCACAGCAUAUGGAGGUUGCCAACCUUGUUGGCGGCCAGCAGAUAGUGGUAGGGGGUGGGGGAUAGAAGGGGUCUUUAAAGCAGUUUCAGAUCAGGGUGGGGUGUGGACAAGGUCCAUUUCAGGCUCCUAGCUUCUGUGGUUGGCCUGUCACACACCACUGCUGUCACUACAGUCAUCUGAAUCCCCGAUGUCUGGCCAAGGCAGAGGAUUUGAAAUGCCAGGGGGUAGCUGGGAACUGUGGGGCUGGAGGUGGGGGGCAGGGGUAGGAGAUGGGAGUGGGGGGUGAGGUCACGUCUAAGUGUGAAGCAGACCAGGAGAAGGCCGCGGGGGCUCCAGCCCGCCCCCCUCUCACAAAAGCCCCCCUCCUGGGAUUCUUCAACAAAUACCCUGGCACAGGUGAAGCGCUAACGUGGUCUCUGCCCAUCCAUAACCAGCGGCCUCUUAUUGUUAUUAUUCUCUUAUUAUUUUGAAGAGAAUUAGGCUGCUACAGAAAACGUGUGGAAAACACUGCCCCCAGAUGUCCCAAAGGAGGUGACUCGGGUUCUGGCAGGGGCUGCCAGCAAGGGCCAGGGGCCAGCCCUUCCCAGCCCAAGGCAGGGCGCUUCAAUGGAAUCAGCCUGGGUUUGGCAACAGCAUCGUGGCAUCCAAGCGCCUGGCUGCAAUCCUUCCUCCACUGAGUCAGACUCACAGACGGAAGACUCAGAAAGCUGAAAGCGACCUCAUGAAUUUCCCUGUCUGUGCCCUUAUUUCACAGAUGAGGACACUGUGGUCUGGCGGGGGGGGGGGGGGCCUAGCUGGCCCCAGGUCGCAUACCUUUGUGGCAGCCAAAACAUGGGCUUGGAGCCCAAAUUCCAGGUCACGGCACCGUGUUUUUCAACUCCACAGAAAGGCACGUAUUGACGGGUUAGCUACCGUAUAGAUGAAGCGACGUGAUGACAGUUCCUGACGUCAAGGAAUUGGAACUUCAGUGGGAAAUACAGACAUGAAGCGAGUACGCGGAUAACGAAAAUGGAAGCGGGGAUGAGAUCCCUAAGGCGUAAUGCAAGGAGCGUAAAUGCACUGCCUUCGAUGUAUCUUCCCCCCAAAGCGCAACCAUCAGCACCACAAUCAGGUGAUCCCAACGGCGAAGGGUCACCCUGGAAAACUGGGGGAUGAGCCUGGGUGAUCUUUCAGUGAUGAAGGGAAAUUUCAUGCGGCUGCAGUCUGCAACCCAGAGAGGGCUUCGGUUCUUUAUCGGAAGCACAGUCUGAGACAAGGGACCUGGAGAAGAAAUGUCACGUGACUCUACUAAGGUGCUAGACCAAAGGAUUGGCCAUUGAAGGAAAGAAUGACUCUAGCCCCGAGUCCUUUCUUGGACCAGGAGGAAAGAGCCACUGCGGGGUGGGUCAAGCCAAGCAUGACCGGGAUCCUGCAGGGGCGGCAGCACCGCUGCCACGAAGGCCCUGAAACUGGCUCCAGGCACCAGCAGGACACGCUCCAGAGAGCAGAGGCCCUCUGCUGAGUAAACCGGAGAGCUCCACGGGGCAGAGAAUGAAUGAAUGCAGGCUUCUGUUUCAACCGCUGGCUAGCAAAGAAAGAACACGCGGAAAUGUGCACAGAGAGAGAUUCGCGUUUUAUCUCAGCGUCGGAUCAGUGUUGACACUUUGAAUGGCAAAUUGCUAGGCGAGCUGGGCAAGUUACUCUUCGGGGAGAUGCUUCUCCCACCAUGGGCACUCUCAUUUCAAGGGUUUCUGCUUUUCUCCUCUACUUUCAAGGGAAAAACGCAAGCAUAGAGGAGUUCCCGUCGUGGCGCAGUGGUUAACGAACCCAACUAGGAACCAUGAGGUUGCGGGUUCAAUCCCUGGCCUUGCUCAGUGGGUUAAGGAUCUGGUGUUGCUGUGAGCUGUGGUGUAGGUCGCAGACGAAGCUCAGAUCCCGUGUUGCUGUGGCUCUGGCGUAGGCUGGUGGCUACAGCUCCGAUUCGACCCUAGCCUGGGAACCUCCAUAUGCUGCAGGUGCGGCCCUAAAAAGCCCCCCCCCCCCGCCAAGAAAAAAGACCAAAAAGAAAAAAACGCAAGCGUGGAAUCUGAAACCUGAGGUGCCAGUGAUCAUCAUGGAAGCUUCGCAUGUGGUAAGUUACCACUUAAGAGAAUUUCCUAAAACAGACUCAUGUCUGUAGCCCAUGAGCAGAGAAUUCUAUUGUAUCAGGAAGUCGGGCUCUUUUAACCAUAAUGAUAAGGACCGAAAGAGGUACGCCAUUCUAUCUGAUGCACAGAGCCUUCUGGAAGAAAAAACAAAACCCAGUCACUUACAAGGUGGCUGAGAUCACUACUGAAAAAGGUGUUUCCAGAAGUUUCCAUACCACUGCAAAGCGGACUAAACUGAAAACAUACUUUGGGACAGAAAAACAGGAGCAAGACAUAUUUUCAGACAGAAAAACAGGAGCAACCGUCAAAGUGUCAGCAGAAUGCAGUAGGAUUCAGGCCACAGCAGUAACCAAACCAGUGUCUGGACCACCUGCCUGUUGCUCUCUGCUCAUCCUUUCAAAACCACUAAAGGUGCUUAUUUUCGUUAAAGGCAUCGAAUUUAGGAUUUUUAAAAAAUUUUCUUAAUGUAUUCAGCUCAAAACUCACAUUCAUACCUGCCAACUCUGAUGGGGGAGAAAUAAUUUAUCACAAUCACACCAUGCUGUACAAGUCCACGGCAGCAACUACCACUAAGGCUCGAUGGAAUCGCCCUCCUUGAAAGUUAUUAAUUAGUAAUAGUCCACAUGCCCCUCAGACCCUCAGGAUCUGGUUAAGGAACCUCAGCUGUACCCUGUUAGCUCAGUAAUUCUGUAAGUGAAUGGAAAAAUGACAACGAUUAAUCUUGGACUCUGUGUUUCAGUGCCUUGAUAGAAGAAAGGACCAAAUGAAAUAGGCUCCAAGCCUCUGGUUUUAUCUCGGGACUUGACAAAAAGAACACUUAUUUUUAUCUCUGUUCACUGCUAUAGCUAGAGCACCUAGUACAGAGUCUGGCAGAGAGUGGGACCCCCUCUCACAAAAAAUGUUUUUUUGGAAUAAACACACAGUCUCAUUAUUAGACAGAAGUGCUGCCAAAACUAAAAAUUCAGGCCCUGAAAAAAAAAUCACUGUUUUAUCAUUCACAUUGAUGUAAUAAAGGAAGGGAGGCAAGAGCAAACCAAACAUCUGCUUUGUUAUUUUUUUUUUCUUGGUAUGGUUUGGUGAGGAUAAUGCAUACCUUUGAUGUUCACUAGUUAUGCGAUUUGGGGCAAAUGACUUGAAUGCCCCUCCUAAGUAUCUAUGGCCUUACAUCGAAAAUAAGGCCCAAGAGAGUGGGAGGGACUGAGAGUUUGGGGUUGGUGGAUGCCAACUAUUGCCUUUAGAAUGGAUCGGCAAUGAGGUCCUGCUGGACAGCACAGGGAACUAGAUCCAAUCUCUUGGGAUAGACCAGGAUGGAAGAUACUAUAAGAAAAGGAAUAUAUAUGUAUGUAUGACUGGGUCACUUUGCUGUACCGCAGACAUUGACACAAUACUGUACGUCAGCUACGCUUUAAUUUAAAAAAAGGAAAAAAGGAGUUCCCGUCAUCAUGGCUCAGUGGUUAAUGAAUCCGACUAGGAACCACGAGGUGGCGGGUUCGAUCCCUGGCCUUGCACUGUGGGUUGAGGAUCCGGCAUUGCCGUGAGCUGUGGUGCAGGUCACAGAUGCGGCUCGGAUCCCGCGUGGCUGUGGCUCUGGUGUAGAUCAGCGGCUACAGCUCCGAUUCGACCCCUAGCCUGGGACCCUCCAUCUGCUGCGGGAGCGGCCCCAGAAAAGGCAAAAAGACUAAAUAAAUAAAUAAGGGGGAAAAAAAACCCAAAUAAGGCCAAUAAUGUCUUCCUCACAGUGUCACAGUAAAGAUGAAAUGUGGUCAUACCAUUUCAGAGCCUGGCACGCAACAGAGGUUCUCACAAAUGACGAGGACUCCAGAAAGAGCAUGAGAAAACUUCUCCUGUUCUUCUUGGACUUCAAGCACAGAGCCCAAGUAGAGCUCUGUACCAUCCAUAUCAUUUUUGGCGUUUCUUCCCAGAGAAACCAGUCCAUCACCCAUCCCAGCAAGCCUUCUCUACCCUGAUGGCAGGUUGGAAGUGACCCGCUCAGUGCAACUCUCCAAGACAGGACAUCAGAGCUGCCGGGUGGGGUCCUCCACGUGGCCCUGAACCCGCAGGUCCUGUGCCCUCCAGGAGGGGGCCCAGGUACUUGGGAACCGAAGGACGCCAAAAAGGAUGCAGUUGGGGGUUGGGGAGGGAUAAAUUCGGUGUUUGGGAUUCACAUACGCACACGACCAUAUAUACAAGAGAUAAUCAGCGGGGACCUACUGCAUAGCACAGCAAACAUGACUCAAUAUCCAGUCAUAACCUAUAUGGGAAACGAAUCUGAAAAAGCAUGGAUAUUUGUGUGUGUAUAACCGAAUCACUUUGCUGUCCACCUGAAACUAACACAACACGGCAGGCCGACUAUACUCCAAUAUAAAUCUUUUUUUAACUUUUUUUUUUAAAAAAAGAUGCAGUCAGUACAGAGGGAACAUGAUGCUUCUGAGGCAGGCAUAACACACAGGAGCAUCAGGAAAGGAUGGCUGGCCCCAGUUAGGAGAACAGGACCUCUUCUCGGAGAAGCAUCAUGUAAGUGAAGGGACGUUUGGAAAUAACUUCUACAAGCUGUGAUGCGACAGACAUUUCGAGUGACUAUACACCUAAGCUUUCCAACACUCAGAUCUCAAAUUGGCUGGUUCAUUUGGCCUAAACCGAUAACAUAUGGAUGGUUCUAAAUGCUGUCGAAAGCUUCCAUUUUAAAAGCAACAUAUGUAUUUUUCCAAUAGAGGUUUAACAUUUAAAAAAAAAAAAAGUCACGAAUGAUGUAAUCCGAAGGUCAAUACUCACCAAGCCGAUCAAAAGUAUUUCUUUUCAAGGCGGUGCCCAGCAAGCAGAAGCUGUUCUCAUCUUUACCUCCUAGGUAAGCCAUGUGCUCUUUUAGUCCUAUGUAUAACUUGAAGGAUGGUGCAACCUUUGGGGAGACUCAGUUUCUCCAUCUGUUUCAAAAAGAGCAGAGAGGGAUGGAUCGAGCUAAUUCUAAAACACGAGGCUCCUCUUCUGAAAACAGCAAUCGCUGUUACUUCCCUCUAGGCCAGGAAUUUUAUUACUGCUGAUCUUUUAAGAUGUGGAGUUCCUGUUGUGGCGCAGCGGAAACGAAUCCGGCUAGGAACCAUGAGGUUGCAGGUUCAAUCCCUGACCUCUCUCAGUGGGUUAAGGAUCCGGCAUUGCCAUGAGCUGUGGUGUAGGUCAAAGACAUGGUUUGGAUCUGGCAUUGCUGUGGCUGUGGUGUAGGCCGGUGGCUACAGCUCCGAUUGGACCCCUAGCCUGGGAACCUCCAUAUAUCACGGGUGUGGCCCUAGAAAAGGCACAAAGACCAAAAAAAAAAAAAAAAAAA